RNAcentral lists this ribosomal RNA (467 nucleotides) under uncultured bacterium. Its description in RNAcentral is "bacterial SSU rRNA". It matches the Rfam family "Bacterial small subunit ribosomal RNA", at positions 26 to 507 of the family's 1533-position model. The record is from RNAcentral.
AGGACGAACGCUGGCGGCGUGCUUAACACAUGCAAGUCGAACGGUGAAGGGGAGCUUGCUCCCCGGAUCAGUGGCGAACGGGUGAGUAACACGUGGGCAACCUGCCCCAGACUUCGGGAUAACGCUUCGAAAGAGGUGCUAAUACCGGAUACGAACUCCUUGGGCAUCCCGGGAGUUGGAAAGUUUUUCGGUCUGGGAUGGGCCCGCGGCCUAUCAGCUUGUUGGUGAGGUAACGGCUCACCAAGGCGACGACGGGUAGUCGGCCUGAGAGGGCGACCGGCCACACUGGGACUGAGACACGGCCCAGACUCCUACGGGAGGCAGCAGUGGGGAAUAUUGCGCAAUGGGCGAAAGCCUGACGCAGCAACGCCGCGUGAGGGAUGACGGCCUUCGGGUUGUAAACCUCUUUCAGCAGGGAAGAAGCGAAAGUGACGGUACCUGCAGAAGAAGCACCGGCUAACUACGUG